Molecule: long non-coding RNA, 420 nt
Organism: Salvelinus fontinalis (brook trout)
Lineage: Eukaryota; Metazoa; Chordata; Actinopteri; Salmoniformes; Salmonidae
Exons: 3
Source: RefSeq, a predicted model, not a curated record
GCUGCAUUAAAGGAGAAGGAGAGGAAAGUAAAGUAAAAGAGAGCUCAACACACACCUAAAGGAAAUACAAUCAGAUCUAAAGACUCCUGAAGAACAACAGAGGAAAAAUGAAAGCUGUAUGUUUUUCUCUCCUUCUCCUGCUGCUGGCAUGUAGCUUUGGAGAGGGCCUGAGAUGCAACCGAUGUAUUGGCAAUGGCUGCAGUAACACAGUGGAGACCUGCCGUAUUGACCAUGAUACCUGUGCCAUGGUCAUAUUCAAGUACCCACUCCGUACGUAUCUAUUAUCCCCUUCACUAGGCAGUAUACCCUGAGUUUCAGCUGUAUAUAUCCCUUCACUAGGCACUUUACUGUGUUUAACCCUAGGAUCAGUAACCAAUCGGUAAAACACCAAAUAUUGGAUCCUUUUGAUUGACAUCUAAG